RNAcentral lists this ribosomal RNA (385 nucleotides) under uncultured bacterium. RNAcentral describes it as "bacterial SSU rRNA". It matches the Rfam family "Bacterial small subunit ribosomal RNA", at positions 335 to 713 of the family's 1533-position model. The record is from RNAcentral.
ACUCCUACGGGAGGCAGCAGUGGGGAAUAUUGCACAAUGGGGAAACCCUGAUGCAGCCAUGCCGCGUGUGUGAAGAAGGCCUUCGGUUGUAAAGCACUUUCAGUAGGGAGGAAGGUAGUGUAGUUAACACCUGCAUUAUUUGACGUUACCUACAGAAGAAGCACCGGCUAACUCCGUGCCAGCAGCCGCGGUAAUACGGAGGGUGCGAGCGUUAAUCGGAAUUACUGGGCGUAAAGCGCAUGCAGGCGGCCUGUUAAGUCAGAUGUGAAAGCCCGGGGGCUUAACCUCGGAAUUGCAUUUGAAACUGGCAGGCUAGAGUCUUGUAGAGGGGGUAGGAAUUUCAGGUGUAGCGGUGAAAUGCGUAGAGAUCUGAAGGAAUACCAGU